This 165-nucleotide microRNA precursor is filed under the name Oryza brachyantha (malo sina). Its description in RNAcentral is "MIR812 microRNA precursor family". It matches the Rfam family "MIR812 microRNA precursor family", at positions 27 to 190 of the family's 205-position model. Lineage: Eukaryota; Viridiplantae; Streptophyta; Magnoliopsida; Poales; Poaceae. The record is from Rfam by way of RNAcentral.
AAUAAUGGUUUGACUCUUCGUUUUAUUUAAUUUUUUUUUGUGAUUUAUAAUUUUAUCCUUACUGAUGAUAAAACAUGAAUAAUACUUUAUGCGUGACUAAUUUUUUAAAGUUUUUAUAAUUUCUUUUAAAUAAGACGAAUGGUCAAACGUCGGACACGAAAAAAC